Molecule: ribosomal RNA, 483 nt
Filed under: uncultured bacterium
Lineage: Bacteria
Description: partial 16S ribosomal RNA
Rfam family: Bacterial small subunit ribosomal RNA
Source: RNAcentral
AUUGAACGCUGGCGGCAGGCCUAACACAUGCAAGUCGAGCGGAUGAAGGGAGCUUGCUCCUGGAUUCAGCGGCGGACGGGUGAGUAAUGCCUAGGAAUCUGCCUGGUAGUGGGGGAUAACGUCCGGAAACGGGCGCUAAUACCGCAUACGUCCUGAGGGAGAAAGUGGGGGAUCUUCGGACCUCACGCUAUCAGAUGAGCCUAGGUCGGAUUAGCUAGUUGGUGGGGUAAAGGCCUACCAAGGCGACGAUCCGUAACUGGUCUGAGAGGAUGAUCAGUCACACUGGAACUGAGACACGGUCCAGACUCCUAGGGGAGGCAGCGGGGGGGAAUUUUGGACAAGGGGCGAAAGCCUGAUCCAGCCAUGCCGGGUGUGUGAAGAAGGUUUUCGGUUUGUAAAGCACUUUAAGUUGGGAGGAAGGGCAGUAAGUUAAAACCUUGCUUUUUUGACUUUACCAACAAAAUAAGCCCCGGCUAACUUCGU